AAGCUGAGUUAGAUGGAGGUGCCAAGGUGCCCAGCAGUGCUGAGCUCCACACCAUCACAGCUGACCACUGUGUUGUGGGUUGGGGUGGAUUCCUCUAUGCUGGGGUGCAGUUACUUGUAGGGACAGAGUACAAUAAGACUCUCCCUGCCUGCAGGAAAGCUGAAAUUGGUGUGGCCUCUGUUAUUUUCUCAGUCGGCUUUGAAACAGAAGAUUUGUCUUGAGGAGGCUCAAGCUACAUGAAAGCAGUCACACCAGCUGCAGAGACAGCUCCCUUCUGACUUGACAUGAUCUGAGAAGUAGUAUCCUGCCAUCAAGGAGCUGCAGCUUCAUCCUCAGGAACAUUGGCAUUAGCCUACCCCAGCUAGAGCUGUGACUCAAGGCCAGAGCCAAAUGAGAGGGACCUGGCAGAGGAGCAUGGCAGCUCAUCCUUUUUCAGAGUGAUUUGAGCUGCUGUCCCACAUGGUUUUCCUGAAGUGCAUGUUCUUCACACCAGGAAUUUGUGGUUCUCCUACAGUGCACACCCCACAGAUACAAACACACGAGGGUCUUUUGAAGAACAGCAGUUGCUGGUGGAAAAGUUCAAGUCUCACUUGACAACAGCCUUGCAUUUACAGUACAAAAGGAGCAGACCCCAUCUCUCCUCAGAAAGGGACAAACAGCUUGGAACUCGGCAAGUACUCUCUUCAGCUAGAACAAAUACAAUUUUGCAGUCCAUUGAUUUCCAUUUACAAUGCCAAGUUUUAUUUGAUUUAUUGUUUUAAUAUCUAUA
Non-coding RNA from Lonchura striata (white-rumped munia), 769 nucleotides. The record is from RefSeq and is a predicted model, not a curated record. NCBI's taxonomy places the organism in Eukaryota, Metazoa, Chordata, Aves, Passeriformes, Estrildidae.